GAUAUGGCUCAUGGAUAGAUGGAUCCCUGAGUUUACCCGUCUUUCACUCAGCAGACUCAGGUUGUUAUUAAUGUUCUGAAGGGAUGGAUGGUACUGGACUUGGUAUCCAGCAGAUAUCUUGGGGCACUGCGGUGUUGGACCUAGAGCGGGAUAAAAGACAACUGUACUUUUUUUAUUUUUUUAUAUUUUUACAACACCUGAGUGCUGGGAUUAAAGACAUGUGUCCCCGUGCCAGGGACAAAAAC
RNAcentral lists this long non-coding RNA (245 nucleotides) under Rattus norvegicus (Norway rat). RNAcentral's name for it is "long non-coding RNA NONRATT017686". Lineage: Eukaryota; Metazoa; Chordata; Mammalia; Rodentia; Muridae. The record is from RNAcentral.